AGCUCCAAUAGCGUAUAUUAAAGUUGUUGUGGUUAAAAAGCUCGUAGUUGGAUCUCGGCAAACUGAGGGCGGUUUACUUGCUAGUACUACUGCCCUAUAGUUUGUAUUAUUGCUGGAGGUUUAGAGGUGAUCUUAAUCGAUUGUCUCUGGAUGCCAGCAGGUUUACUUUGAAAAAAUUAGAGUGCUCAAAGCAGGCUUAUACGCCUGAAUAUUCGUGCAUGGAAUAAUAGAAUAGGAACUUGUUCUUAUUUUGUUGGUUUUCGAGAAUCAAGUCAAUGAUUAAUAGGGACAGUUGGGGGCAUUUGUAUUCAAGCGAAAGAGGUGAAAUUCUUGGACCGUUUGAAGACAAACUACUGCGAAAGCAUUUGCCAAGAAUGUUU
Molecule: ribosomal RNA, 380 nt
Filed under: uncultured eukaryote
Lineage: Eukaryota
Description: SSU rRNA
Rfam family: Eukaryotic small subunit ribosomal RNA
Source: RNAcentral